RNAcentral lists this ribosomal RNA (1269 nucleotides) under Phytoplasma sp. Guerrero LY-P5. Its description in RNAcentral is "bacterial SSU rRNA". It matches the Rfam family "Bacterial small subunit ribosomal RNA", at positions 142 to 1409 of the family's 1533-position model. Lineage: Bacteria; Bacillati; Mycoplasmatota; Mollicutes; Acholeplasmatales; Acholeplasmataceae. The record is from RNAcentral.
ACUAGUGAUUACGACUGCUGCUAAGACUGGAUAGGAAAUAAAAAGGCAUCUUUUUAUUUUUAAAAGGCCUUCUUCGGAGGGUAUGCUUAAAGAGGGGCUUGCGUCACAUUAGUUAGUUGGUAGGGUAAUGGCCUACCAAGACGAUGAUGUGUAGCUGGACUGAGAGGUUGAACAGCCACAUUGGGACUGAGACACGGCCCAAACUCCUACGGGAGGCAGCAGUAGGGAAUUUUCGGCAAUGGAGGAAACUCUGACCGAGCAACGCCGCGUGAACGAUGAAGUACUUCGGUAUGUAAAGUUCUUUUAUUGAAGAAGAAACAAUAGUGGAAAAACUAUCUUGACGUUAUUCAAUGAAUAAGCCCCGGCUAACUAUGUGCCAGCAGCCGCGGUAAUACAUAGGGGGCGAGCGUUAUCCGGAAUUAUUGGGCGUAAAGGGUGCGUAGGCGGUUUAAUAAGUCUCUAGUUUAAUUUCAACGCUUAACGUUGUCCUGCUAGAGAAACUGUUUGACUAGAGUGAGAUAGAGGUAAGCGGAAUUCCAUGUGUAGCGGUAAAAUGUGUAAAUAUAUGGAGGAACACCAGAGGCGCAGGCGGCUUACUGGGUCCUUACUGACGCUGAUGCACGAAAGCGUGGGGAGCAAACAGGAUUAGAUACCCUGGUAGUCCACGCCGUAAACUAUGAGUACUAAGUGUCGGGGUUAAACUCGGUACUGAAGUUAACACAUUAAGUACUCCGCCUGAGUAGUACGUACGCAAGUAUGAAACUUAAAGGAAUUGACGGGAUCCCGCACAAGCGGUGGAUCAUGUUGUUUAAUUCGAAGAUACACGAAAAACCUUACCAGGUCUUGACAUACUCUGCAAAACUAUAGAAAUAUAGUGGAGGUUAUCAGGGAUACAGGUGGUGCAUGGUUGUCGUCAGCUCGUGUCUUGAGAUGUUAGGUUAAGUUCUAAAACGAGCGCAACCCCUGUCGUUAAUUGCCAGCACGUUAUGGUGGGGACUUUAGCGAGACUGCCAAUGAAAAAUUGGAGGAAGGUGGGGAUUACGUCAAAUCAUCAUGCCCCUUAUGAUCUGGGCUACAAACGUGAUACAAUGGCUAUUACAAAGAGUAGCUGAAACGCGAGUUUUUGGCAAAUCUCAAAAAAAUAGUCCUAGUUCGGAUUGAAGUCUGCAACUCGACUUCAUGAAGUUGGAAUCGCUAGUAAUCGCGAAUCAGCAUGUCGCGGUGAAUACGUUCACGGGGUUUGUACACACCGCCCGUCAAAUCGAAUUC